CAGCGGCGCACGGGUGAGUAACACGUAGGUAACCUACCUUCAAGACUGGGAUAACCUGUCGAAAGACGGGCUAAUACCGGAUAACACCACUGGGGUCGCGGCUUCAGUGGUAAAAGAUGGCCUCUGCUUGCACGCUAUCACUGGAAGAUGGGCCUGCGCGCCAUUAGCUAGUUGGCGGGGUAAAAGCCCACCAAGGCAAAGAUGGCUAGCUGGUCUGAGAGGAUGGCCAGCCACACUGGGACUGAGACACGGCCCAGACUCCUACGGGAGGCAGCAGUGGGGAAUAUUGCGCAAUGGGCGAAAGCCUGACGCAGCGACGCCGCGUGGGUGAUGAAGGCCUUCGGGUCGUAAAGCCCUGUCGGGGGGGACGAAACCUCCCGGUGUGAAUAUCACCGGGACCUGACGGUACCCCCUAAGGAAGCACCGGCUAACUCCGUGCCAGCAGCCGCGGUAAUACGGAGGGUGCGAGCGUUGUUCGGAAUCACUGGGCGUAAAGCGCGUGUAGGCGGCCUUUUAAGUCUGAUGUGAAAGCCCGGGGCUUACCCCCGGAAGGGCAUUGGAAACUGGAAGGCUCGAGUACCGGAGAGGAAGGUGGAAUUCCUGGUGUAGCGGUGAAAUGCGUAGAUAUCAGGAGGAACACCGGUGGCGAAGGCGGCCUUCUGGACGGAUAC
Molecule: ribosomal RNA, 671 nt
Filed under: uncultured bacterium
Lineage: Bacteria
Description: bacterial SSU rRNA
Rfam family: Bacterial small subunit ribosomal RNA
Source: RNAcentral